CCUACGGGUGGCAGCAGUGGGGAAUAUUGGGCAAUGGGCGCAAGCCUGACCCAGCAACGCCGCGUGAAGGAAGAAGGCCCUCGGGUUGUAAAAUUCUUUUAUCAGGGACGAAGCAAGUGACGGUACCUGAUGAAUAAGCAACGGCUAACUACGUGCCAGCAGCCGCGGUAAUACGUAGGUGGCACGCGUUAACCGGAUUUACUGGGUGUAAAGGGCGUGUAGGCGGGAAAGCAAGUCAGAUGUGAAAACCAUGGGCUCAACCUGUGGCCUGCAUUUGAAACUGUUUGUCUUGAGUACUGGAGAGGCAGACGGAAUUCCUAGUGUAGCGGUGAAAUGCGUAGAUAUUAGGAGGAACACCAGUGGCGAAGGCGAGCUGCUGGACAGCAACUGACGCUGAGGCGCGAAAGCGUGGGGAGCAAACAGGAUUAGAUACCCGAGUAGUC
RNAcentral lists this ribosomal RNA (443 nucleotides) under uncultured bacterium. Its description in RNAcentral is "partial 16S ribosomal RNA". It matches the Rfam family "Bacterial small subunit ribosomal RNA", at positions 338 to 795 of the family's 1533-position model. The record is from RNAcentral.